AUCAGAGAUUUUCCCCGUAACAUGUGUCAUGUGUUGGAAAAUUUUGCAAUCCGAACAGUUGUUGGCGCAUGGGGUUGACGCCUGACGGCAAGAACUGGAAAAUGGAGUCAGCGGCUAAACUGUUGGAAAUUUUUGAGAAGACGUAAGAUUUUAAGUAAGAUUACCCGGCAUCAUUCAGCUAUAAAUUGUUAACCUUCUUCAAAAAUUUAGGGCACAGAAAUCCAAAUCCAAACUGCAGGAUAAGGGAAGAAGGGGAUAGAUAUGGAGGAGUCCAUCCCGUCUGCACUAACUUGCAGCAAUCUUCCUCCCCAGCUCUCCUCCUUCGUCAAUGCCUUCGUCGACUUCUGCGUGAGCGGCCUCUUCUUUCCCAAUUCGAAACCUAACACCCUUUCUAAUCCCAUUCCCGUGCUCUCCACGCACUUCCCCGCGCCCUCCCGCCUCGUCGCUAUCGGCGAUCUCCACGGAGAUUAUCCCAAAUCCUUACAAGCCCUUGCGCUCGCCGGCCUCAUUGAUCCUUUCUCUUUCCGCUGGACCGGCGGCACCACCGUCGCCGUUCAGGUCGGCGACGUCCUCGACCGCGGUGGCGAUGAGAUCCGCCUCCUGUACCUUCUCCAACGCCUCAAACUCGACGCCGCCCAUGCCGGUGGCGAGCUUCUCACCAUCCUCGGCAACCACGAGGUCAUGAAUAUAGACGGCGAUUUCCGCUAUGUCACCCCGGAGGGACUCGACGAGUUCAAGCAAUGGGGCCGAUGGUUCCGCGUUGGUCUUUCCAUGAAACGCCUCUGCUCGGAUCUCGAAAAACCGAUUGAUCCUUUCAGAGGAAUCCCCAUGUCUUUCCCCGGCGUGAAAAGGGAGUUUUGGGAGGGGUUUCGAUCGAGAAUCGCCGCCCUCCGACCCGACGGCGUCCUCUCCCGUCGGUUCCUAGCCGACAAUCCGACGGUCGCGGUGGUCGGAGAUUCGGUUUUCGUUCAUGGAGGACUGUUGCAGCGGCAUGUCGAGUAUGGCUUGGAAAGGAUCAACGAAGAUGCUAGGGAUUGGAUCUGCGGCUUGAAUGGGAGGUUAUCUCCUAAAAACAUGAGAGGCAGAGAUAGUGUGGUUUGGUUGAGGAGGUUCUCUGAGGGUUUUAACUGUGAUUGCCAGCAUCUUGAAGGUGUUCUUUCCAUGAUUCCAGGAGUGAGGAGGAUGGUGAUGGGGCAUACUAUACAGGAACAAGGGAUUAAUGCUGUCUGCGAGAACAGAGCCAUUAGGAUAGAUGUUGGGUUAUCCAAAGGAUGUUCAAAUGGAUUGCCUGAGGUGCUUGAGAUCAAUGGCGGCUUAAACAUGAGAGUGAUUACUGCAAACUCAUUGUAUGAUUACAGAGGGAAGGUGCCUGAGGUGAGGGAAGGAGAAAGACAUGGGCUUGCUUUGCUGCUAAGUGAAAGCAGAUUGAAAGAAGUGGAAGCUGCUGCUUAGGCAACAGCUUAUAUGGCUAACAAAUCAUGUUCUCUUGUUCAUAAUUUCAGUAGAUUUAAAAGGUUGCAGGAAGUAAUGAAAAACAGGAAUCAAAAUAGAACUUAAUGGAAAUUGGGGAAAAGUUCGGCUAUUGGGCGCCUAGGCACUUGAAUAUUGGCGCUUAGGCGCCAGAACCUGUUCAUAAUUCAGCUACAACCCGAGAGCAUGACACCAUGGCACUAGCCCCUGGGCGCUUAGGCGCCGCGAUACUGUCACUUAUGUGUUGCAUAAUUGGGCGCUUAGGCGCCCAAUAGACAGUUCUAAAUAGAGAGUUUGGUGCUUAGGUGCCAGCUCCUGGGCACAUUGGCGCCCAAAUUGAAUUCAGCGGUUGGAGCAGUUCGAAGUUUUAGUUCAUAAGGAAAUCGUGGAAAACAUUGGUAGGAAUGUAUAAAAAGCAAUGAAACGAAGUGGGAAGGGGAUGUUGCUAGCUUGAGGCUUCUGCUUUUACUUCAGUUCAAAAGUUUUCUUCUCCCCGGGCAGUGAAGAGAAUUCUAGCAGAUCGUCAACAACAGAAGAUAGGAGGUUUGAGAGGUUCUAAGAGAUAAGUGCUUGUGUUUCAUCAGUUCUUUAUUGUGAAGAAGAGAAAGAUAAUUCUUUUCUAUAGUUUGAUUGUAACAUUUUAUUUGUAAGACUAUUAUAUUUUGAUU
Phalaenopsis equestris is the source of this 2138-nucleotide RNA transcript. It is a transcript of the gene named shewanella-like protein phosphatase 2, with no coding region annotated. Lineage: Eukaryota; Viridiplantae; Streptophyta; Magnoliopsida; Asparagales; Orchidaceae. The transcript has 2 exons. The record is from RefSeq and is a predicted model, not a curated record.